GGGCUGUAGUUUAGUUGAAAAUUUGUAUGUUGCAUGUAUGAGAGAAAAAGCUCUA
RNAcentral lists this transfer RNA (55 nucleotides) under Ascaridia columbae. RNAcentral's name for it is "tRNA-Ala". Lineage: Eukaryota; Metazoa; Nematoda; Chromadorea; Rhabditida; Ascaridiidae. The record is from RNAcentral.